AUUGAACGCUGGCGGCAGGCCUAACACAUGCCAGUCGAGCGGAUGAAGGGAGCUUGCUCCUGGAUUCAGCGGCGGACGGGUGAGUAAUGCCUAGGAAUCUGCCUGGUAGUGGGGGAUAACGUCCGGAAACGGGCGCUAAUACCGCAUACGUCCUGAGGGAGAAAGUGGGGGAUCUUCGGACCUCACGCUAUCAGAUGAGCCUAGGUCGGAUUAGAUAGUUGGUGGGGUAAAGGCCUACCAAGGCGACGAUCCGUAACUGGUCUGAGAGGAUGAUCAGUCACACUGGAACUGAGACACGGUCCAGACUCCUACGGGAGGCAGCAGUGGGGAAUAUUGGACAAUGGGCGAAAGCCUGAUCCAGCCAUGCCGCGUGUGUGAAGAAGGUCUUCGGAUUGUAAAGCACUUUAAGUUGGGAGGAAGGGCAGUAAGUUAAUACCUUGCUGUUUUGACGUUACCAACAGAAUAAGCACCGGCUAACUUCGUG
RNAcentral lists this ribosomal RNA (484 nucleotides) under uncultured bacterium. RNAcentral describes it as "partial 16S ribosomal RNA". It matches the Rfam family "Bacterial small subunit ribosomal RNA", at positions 30 to 507 of the family's 1533-position model. The record is from RNAcentral.